AUGUAAAAUAUGCAAUAGUUCAAAGACUUUUCCCAAAAAAAGUAAUGUAAAAAUAUCUCAAUUUUUAUACUGCUUAUCCAUUGAAAUGAUAAUAUUUAUAUAACAUUAAAUAAAAUAUUUUAUGAAAAUUAACAUUACCUGUUCCAUUUUACUUUUUUAAUAUGGGUACUAGAAGUUUUAAAAUUACAUAUGUGGCUUACAUUUGUCAUUCACGUUGUGUUUGUAUUGCUCAGCACUGAUCUAGACCAUUUGCAUGCUAAUUCUCCUGUGUGACAUAUCUAUUUCUUAUUUCCUCAAAUCCAAAAACUAUCCUACUCAAUCAUGACCUUCUCCUUAAACUCUUUUUAGAUCUCUUCCUUUAAAGAGUGUGCUCUCUUCUCUAAAUUCUAAUGGCAUCUUUCAUCUGACCUCACAAUCUCUUCUAAUGCCUCUACUUGGAUGUAAGUUACUAGCAAGUAAGGUCUAUGUAUAGUUUUACGUAUGUUUGUCACCUGCAAAACAACCACCAUGGAGCUUUUGGAAAAUAUCAGUAAAAUGUUAUUAGACAAGUACCACUGCUUGCUGCCAUUCCUGGUUGCUUGAUGGCAGUAGGGUGUCUUGGCUAAGUGCUCCGCUUCUCUAAUUGCUGUGGGCCAGAGAAGUCAGUCUUUCAACAAAGGCCUAUAAAGUGGAAUUAGCCAUACACUUUCUUGUUAUUUUAUUAAACCAUUAUAAUUAUCCCAGGAAAACUGGAAAACCUAUGAAUACACAGAAAACUAGCAAAUUUGUAAGUUGGUUUUAACAUCAAUGGGUUCUCUGGCUACCUCCUCUCUAUUUCUACAAUAAAGUGUCUUUCUCAUUUACUAUUUUAACUGUUUACUAUCUGUCUUAUCAUUGGAAUACAUGCUUCAGAAAUUGGCAUACUGUCAUUGUGUUCACUCUUCGCACCCCAGUGACUCCUCAGUGAAUGGUACUCUGUAGACACUCAAUAAAUAUUUGUCGAAUCAAUGAAUAGAGGUGGAAAACUGAAUAACAGAGCUAGAAAUAGUGACUAGUAUAGUCUUGAUCCAUAGAUUAUAUACUAUACCUUUUAAAUUUUAUUUUUUAAUUGGCAAGUAAUAAUUGUACAUAUCCAUGGGAUGCAUAGUGGUGUUUUGAGACAUACAACGUGUAGUAAUCAGAUACAUUAUACUUUUAAAGAACUCUCAGAAAUAGGAAUUUUCAGUAGUCAGUACUAACUUGUUCAGGAUAUCCUCAAGUGUAACAAAACUUUUUUUUCUUGGCUCUAAUUUAUGUCUUCCCUUUAUUCAACCUUCUCUGUAGUAUAGGAGUUGGUAACCUGCACGAUCCCUGCUUUUGAGUUUAAUCUAAGAAUAUCUACAAAGUCAAUGACGCACUGAAUCCCAGCAGUUAUAUACUCUGAAGAUGACAACUUUCUCCAAAGUUUGAAGACAGAUGAUGAAAUAUUGAAAUGUUUCAGAAAUAGACUUCUCAGAGUUGCUUUUUAGUUUUCAUGGGAGAAGAGAGAAAUAUAUAGUGAUAAAUUAAUUAAUUAAAUCAUAGCUAGUAAACUCAUACUUAAAGUGAGACAUCCCAUAGCUCAGUCAAUAUGAAUAUUAGAAUUUUUAGAAGAAAAUAUUACAGUAUCAUUCUUUUAAAAAAACAGAACAUAUUGUAUUUAAGACAUACAAGAUAAGCUCUUGUUCAUUUAAGACCAAAGCUUAUAGCUAAAGUGAACUUCUGCUCUAAAAUUUAAUCUUUUCUCCUCAAACUAAAUGUAUCAGACAUCACUUAGUAAAUUGUAAUAACUACAGCCAAAUAUGUACAAAUAUGACUAACCCGAGAGUUGGCGCCAAACUAGUUUUGACCUUUCAUUGUAAAAUGAUCCUUUAUGGUCUUCCAAAAGACGUGGACGUGUUUUAGUGGCCACAAACAACAAUUCAAAUGUCAUGUUGUAAAAUAAAGUGAAAACAAAGCUUCUUACAUAGGAAACGAAUUUUAAUUAAGGUCAAGAAUCUUAUCUGCAUUAGAGUUUAUAUUUGUUCUAGCCUAUACUGAACCUGUUUGAUGGUUCAUUCUUAGCUUUGAAUGACUUAAAGGCUCUCACAACAUUAAGGGCAUGAAAGUUAACCUACUUUAAUUAAAUCUGAUAGUUGAUUGAAAGUAAAUAAUACUUUGAAAUAAUUUCUAACUAUGGAGAUUGAAGAAGCCGCUCCAGAAUCAUUUCAAUUGCUACCAAAUUAACCCCUCCCAGAGAGGAAUGGAUAAUGACAUCAACCCUUUGAACCUAUUGAAAACUAAUCUAAUUAGAGACAUUUUGCUGAAAGGCAAGAGUAGAUAAAAGAAGAAGGAGAGAGAGCAAAAAUUGCAGCAACUUUUUUGGGGGGUCUGGCUCUUGUAAAAUGUAUUAGUCACAAAAAGUAUAGAAACACCUUUAGGAAACUUUCUUUUCUUGUACCCACUAACGACUCAAGGAACUCAAUUAAAUCAAGAUAUUUCUAGUCUUCCAAAGAUAGAUAAGAGGAAGAGAAGAAAGGAGAUAUGAAUAAAGGAAAAAGGGAAAGGAAAGGAAAAGCUUUUAGUUAUUGAGCAAUUCCUUUGUAUCAGAAUUCCAUUAAGGGCUUUUCAUAGAUUAGCUAAUACAAAUCUUACAUAAGAAAAUUAUUAGUAUCCCCAUUUCAUAGAUGAAGAAACAAAGGCACAGAAAGGUAAAAUGGUGAGUAAUUUUCCCAGAAUCAGACAGUUAUCUAAAAGCAACACUGUGAUUUUAAACUCGGGUCUAGUCUACUAAUGCCUUCAUUCUUUUUAAGUAUUACUCCAAAUGGCUUCCAAUAAUAAUGAAAAAUAACAGCAAAACUUCCAGGAAAUGCUCUAAGCAGUGUUCCUACCCACAUCCUCUAAACAUAAUUUUCUGGAUGUGAUAAAAUUUAGUAAUUUCACCCAGUUUAUUACUUGCCUUGGGGAGAUUCAAAUGAAGGCAGAACUGUAAAAAUUACAAUGAUGAUAUGACACAAAAUACACAUUUAAUAACUAUUUACUCUUCAUAAUUAUGAUAAAAACUACAAAUGUGUAACUUAAAUGGAAUAGUUUACUAAUUUGUUUUAGACUUAACACUAAACACUUACUAAGGAGAUAAUCUUGUUUCUACUAGAAUACGUUUGGUCAGAAGCAGAAGUUGACCACAUGAUGGAAAAUACAAUUAUUAGGUGAGUGAACACUGGCCUUGGGAUGAGGCUAUGCAGGUUUAUGUCUAACACACUCAGAGCCAGCUACUCAUAAUUAUUUGAAUUGAAUGUGAGUCUAUAUCUAUCCACUAUAUCUAUCCACUUUUGCUCAUAAGUGGAAAUUGGUUUAUUUGUUAAUAAUUUAAAUGAAGGAAAGCAACAAAAGAGUCAAAGUUGAUUAAACUGGCAAUCCCAUUAGAAAUGGACAAAUCUUAAUGUUUCAAGUAUAUGAGUUGACUAUUCUAUAAGCAUAAUAAACCAUUACAAAAAUGAAAAUGUCAUCUAAGUGUUGAUAACUAGAAAAUCAGGAAGCAGGUGUGGCAGUUCUAUUUAGCUAAACUAAUCCAACUAGACCUCACUUAAGGACAAAUUUAUUUGAUAAGCUUACCUGAUGUUUUAUCUCUGACAUAACCUGAUUUUCUGUAUCUGCAAUCAUAUCAUCCUACCCUUCAACUUAUAAAAAAACAAUUAAUUCUAUUUAAAUUACUGUAUAAUAGUGUUCUCUCUAAAGCAUACACAGGCACCCAUUUGAAAAGCAGUGUGUAUAAUUAUAAAGGU
Molecule: long non-coding RNA, 3761 nt
Filed under: Homo sapiens (human)
Lineage: Eukaryota; Metazoa; Chordata; Mammalia; Primates; Hominidae
Description: HSALNT0334730
Source: RNAcentral